UUUGAAAUGGCGAACCCAUUUCACUGAUUCAACGGUGUGAUCAAUGUGUAUGGCUUUAGAUGCAAAAUUUGAUGAAUUUCAUUUUUAUUACGUAUUACUUCAUUGCAUUGGUUCAACUACCUUCCUGCUACCUUCCUCGACACUGGUCAUAGAUCGAAAUAUCAUCAUUAUACACAAGCAAAGUGCUACUUAAAUAUAUCUUCAAUAACUUCUAUUCAAACUAAUAUUUGUCCCUUUUCUCGAUUGGUACUUUCAGACAUGUAUGCCAUUUUCGGCAGCAUAUUACAUAUUACAUCAUGGCAUUACAUAUACAUCAUUUGUUUCCAGUUUCUUGCUACAUUAUCUAGGCUCAAAUACAUGUUACCUUCCCCAAUACUGGUCAGCGCUUCAAAAUUAAUAAAUGCAUUGUUUUGUAAGAAAUUCAUCAUGCACAAGCAGUGCAUAUUUCUCAAAAUAGUUGUAAGUGUGUGUGUAAAAAGAUCUUUACAAACUAAAUUUUGAAUAGACUUAAUAUACUUAUAUUUAAACUACUAUUUGUUCUUUUUUAUGAUUGGUACUUUUAUUUAAGUUUAAACCAUUAAUUUCUUUACAAAUUUUAAAAGCAACAGGAAAGCAAGCAAACGUCGGCAAGCCUAAGUUCAUAUACCCUUGCAGCUUUUGCAAAAAUGAAAUAUUCUUAAAAACAUUUAAAAUAAGAUUUGUUUGGGUAUAUGCUUAAAACAUUGACGCUAUGAUGCUUUUCAGG
Molecule: long non-coding RNA, 745 nt
Organism: Drosophila gunungcola (fruit fly)
Lineage: Eukaryota; Metazoa; Arthropoda; Insecta; Diptera; Drosophilidae
Exons: 3
Source: RefSeq, a predicted model, not a curated record